Molecule: small RNA, 87 nt
Organism: Sagittula stellata E-37
Lineage: Bacteria; Pseudomonadati; Pseudomonadota; Alphaproteobacteria; Rhodobacterales; Roseobacteraceae
Rfam family: Singlet oxygen resistance RNA X
About the family: SorX (RSs2461)like SorY is a singlet oxygen induced sRNA that counteracts oxidative stress by targeting mRNA for a transporter in Rhodobacter. It also has an impact on resistance against organic hydroperoxides.
Source: Rfam
UCCCGCAGGCAGGCCGGGUCAUGCCUGCCACCUCCCUGUUGAACCUUGCCCGGUGCGUGGGUCUCGCGCCCGCCACCGGGCAUCUUU